Molecule: ribosomal RNA, 408 nt
Filed under: uncultured Pseudomonadota bacterium
Lineage: Bacteria; Pseudomonadati; Pseudomonadota
Description: bacterial SSU rRNA
Rfam family: Bacterial small subunit ribosomal RNA
Source: RNAcentral
ACAUGCAAGUCGAACGGGAUCUUCGGAUCUAGUGGCAGACGGGUGAGUAACGCGUGGGAACCUGCCCAGUAGUAGAGAAUAACUUGAGGAAACUUAAGCUAAUACUUUAUACACCCUCCGGGGAAAAGCUUUAUGCGCUAUUGGAUGGGCCCGCGUUAGAUUAGUUUGUUGGUGAGGUAAUGGCUCACCAAGACUACGAUCUAUAGCUGGUCUGAGAGGAUGAUCAGCCACACUGGGACUGAGACACGGCCCAGACUCCUACGGGAGGCAGCAGUGGGGAAUAUUGGACAAUGGGGGCAACCCUGAUCCAGCGAUGCCGCGUGAGUGAUGAAGGCCUUCGGGUUGUAAAACUCUUUCGUCAGGGAAGAUAAUGACGGUACCUGAAGAAGAAGAUCCGGCUAACUCCGU